RNAcentral lists this long non-coding RNA (684 nucleotides) under Olea europaea subsp. europaea. The record is from RNAcentral. Lineage: Eukaryota; Viridiplantae; Streptophyta; Magnoliopsida; Lamiales; Oleaceae.
CNUUUUCUGUGGGUAGACUUCUUCAUUUAGCUUCUUUUUACUUAUUCUCAUUGGGUGAAGUGCUUGGUGUUGAUGGACAUGUCUUACAUGUAUUGACUUCCAUUUGAUUUGGCAGUUCAAAGGGAAAGGAAGGGGGUGAGUGGGUGGGCGGGCGAUUGUAGUUGAAGCCUUGAAGGAACCAUUAUAUUUCAGCCAUGUCAUCAUGAAUUACAGAAGAAUGAAAUGCAUUUGCUAUACUUCUCUGCAUGGAAAAUUUCUGCUUUCUAAUGAUGCUUCUCCCUCCUUUUCUGUCCGUUUGGGCAGACCCUGAAGGUAUAGCAAAUGCACAGAAAUCUCUUGGAUUAGGUCAAGAAGAAAAAAUUCGCAAAGUCCGCUGAGCAAGUUCUUGAAUUCUACAGAACAUUUGACGUGUUCGUUUGAGAACUAAUAUCUCUACCGUUGAUGGAAGAGCAAUUUGUAUUCCAUAGUUGUGUAGGCAUAUGAAUUCAGAUAAAGUAUUUCAUAAUUUAAUUUCUGCAACUUCUGCCAGAAAGAUUCGUGUUUGCUUAAUCACUUGAAAAAUGACCAUAACUGCAACCGAACCGAAAGAUUGAGGACUAAAUGUUUAGAUUUAAAGGCUGGGGAUCAAAGUUUCUACAAACGCAAAAUGUGAGUGACUGAUGCGACAAUUUUCUCAAGUUUAUA